GCCGCUGUAGCUCAGUUGGUAGAGCGACGCACUCGUAAUGCGUAGGUCGUGAGUUCGACUCUCAUCGGCGGCU
This 73-nucleotide transfer RNA is filed under the name Planctomyces sp. RNAcentral describes it as "tRNA-Thr". It matches the Rfam family "tRNA". Rfam says of the family: Transfer RNA (tRNA) molecules are approximately 80 nucleotides in length. Their secondary structure includes four short double-helical elements and three loops (D, anti-codon, and T loops). RNAcentral also lists the same sequence under 1 other name. Lineage: Bacteria; Pseudomonadati; Planctomycetota; Planctomycetia; Planctomycetales; Planctomycetaceae. The record is from RNAcentral.